This 254-nucleotide ribosomal RNA is filed under the name uncultured bacterium. Its description in RNAcentral is "partial 16S ribosomal RNA". It matches the Rfam family "Bacterial small subunit ribosomal RNA", at positions 524 to 776 of the family's 1533-position model. The record is from RNAcentral.
CACGUAGGGUGCGAGCGUUGUCCGGAAUUAUUGGGCGUAAAGAGCUCGUAGGCGGUGUGUCGCGUCGGCCGUGAAAACCUGCAGCUUAACUGUGGGCUUGCGGUCGAUACGGGCAUCACUGGAGUUCGGCAGGGGAGACUGGAAUUCCGUGUGUAGCGGUGAAAUGCGUAGAGAUCUGGAGGAACACCGAUGGCGAAGGCAGCCUUCUGGGCCAACACUGACGCUCAUGCACGAAAGCGUGGGGAGCAAACAGG